Molecule: ribosomal RNA, 518 nt
Filed under: uncultured soil bacterium
Lineage: Bacteria
Description: bacterial SSU rRNA
Rfam family: Bacterial small subunit ribosomal RNA
Source: RNAcentral
AGAGUUUGAUCCUGGCUCAGAUUGAACGCUGGCGGCAUGCCUUACACAUGCAAGUCGAACGGUAGAGGGGCAACCCUUGAGAGUGGCGAACGGGUGAGUAAUAUAUCGGAACGUGCCCAGUCGUGGGGGAUAACGCAGCGAAAGCUGCGCUAAUACCGCAUACGAUCUAAGGAUGAAAGCGGGGGAUCGCAAGACCUCGCGCGAUUGGAGCGGCCGAUAUCAGAUUAGGUAGUUGGUGGGGUAAAAGCCCACCAAGCCGACGAUCUGUAGCUGGUCUGAGAGGACGACCAGCCACACUGGGACUGAGACACGGCCCAGACUCCUACGGGAGGCAGCAGUGGGGAAUUUUGGACAAUGGGCGCAAGCCUGAUCCAGCAAUGCCGCGUGCAGGACGAAGGCCUUCGGGUUGUAAACUGCUUUUGUACGGAGCGAAACGGUCUGGGUUAAUACCCUGGGCUAAUGACGGUACCGUAAGAAUAAGCACCGGCUAACUACGNNNNNNNNCGCCGCGGUAAUAC